RNAcentral lists this ribosomal RNA (71 nucleotides) under Phocaeicola vulgatus. RNAcentral's name for it is "Bacteroides vulgatus partial 23S ribosomal RNA". The record is from RNAcentral. Lineage: Bacteria; Pseudomonadati; Bacteroidota; Bacteroidia; Bacteroidales; Bacteroidaceae.
AUAAAGAAAGUAAAAAAGGGCGCAUGGCGGAUGCCUUGGCUCUCGGAGGCGAUGAAGGACGUGAUAAGCUG